CUUUAACUCCUCAUCGUGGUUAGCAAGAGACUGUCCAGCGGGAAGAAGCAGCGGGCAUCAGCGCCAGACAGCAGCUGCAUUCAAGCAAUCCCGCCUAUUCGGUGCCGGAUUGGAAGAAAACAUGAGAGAAGAAAGAAAAAUCAUCAAUAAC
Mauremys reevesii (Reeves's turtle) is the source of this 151-nucleotide long non-coding RNA. RefSeq lists it as uncharacterized. The record is from RefSeq and is a predicted model, not a curated record. The transcript is spliced from 3 exons. Lineage: Eukaryota; Metazoa; Chordata; Testudines; Geoemydidae.